Molecule: long non-coding RNA, 208 nt
Filed under: Elaeis guineensis (African oil palm)
Lineage: Eukaryota; Viridiplantae; Streptophyta; Magnoliopsida; Arecales; Arecaceae
Description: long non-coding RNA (EGUI_LNC022494)
Source: RNAcentral
CCGGCACUUUUAUAUGCAAUAAGCUAGAAUAUUAAUUUUUAAAAAUAAUUAUUAUUACGGUCAAAGAUUUAUAGCUCGACAUAUGAGGUAUUAUCUAUUUUGACCCAUAGAUCUCAUGAUUUUGUCUUUUAAAAGACGGCUUACGUGGGAAAGAUAAUCCUUUCUUAUAUAAGUCAGAGUUUUUUUUGACUCACAACUAAUAUGGAAC